This 502-nucleotide unclassified non-coding RNA is filed under the name Hevea brasiliensis (rubber tree). Lineage: Eukaryota; Viridiplantae; Streptophyta; Magnoliopsida; Malpighiales; Euphorbiaceae. The record is from RNAcentral.
GCUUCAUGAACACAUGGUCAUUUUACAAGCUCAAGAGAGCUUUAAAGAAAUUUUAGAUGUUCUUCAAAGUUCAAACUAUCUAGAUGCUAUUGUGGGCAUGCUUGUUGCGUAUUAAGAUUGUCACCCUCAAAAUUGUCAUGAUUUAUUCCUUUCAUUUAUAUUUAUUCCUUCAAUUUAUAUUUGUUUCAGGGCAUGAAUCAAACAAAUGGGAUAAAUUGUUGCUACCAGAUUUGGGUUGUAUCUAAUAUUGAGAAUUUAAUGUGAUGUACAAUGACUUAGGUUUUCAAUCAAUUGAGAACCAGCGUCUCCUAAAUCCUGUAUUCUAUCAAGUUGCGGCCUGUUUCAAAUAAAUAAUUAUAGAACUUUUUACCGACCAUAUUCAUUUGUUCAAAAAGAUUAAAGAAUGUGUAAAAUAAAAGGGAGAAAAGCUAGCAAUGUUAUUUUCGAUGUUGGUUAUCUGAAUGCACAUUUUUGUCCUCAGGUACUGAGACGUUUGGCACAA